RNAcentral lists this ribosomal RNA (1495 nucleotides) under metagenome. RNAcentral's name for it is "bacterial SSU rRNA". It matches the Rfam family "Bacterial small subunit ribosomal RNA". The record is from RNAcentral.
AGAGUUUGAUCAUGGCUCAGAUUGAACGCUGGCGGCAGGCCUAACACAUGCAAGUCGAGCGGUAGAGAGGUGCUUGCACCUCUUGAGAGCGGCGGACGGGUGAGUAAUACCUAGGAAUCUGCCUGAUAGUGGGGGAUAACGUUCGGAAACGGACGCUAAUACCGCAUACGUCCUACGGGAGAAAGCAGGGGACCUUCGGGCCUUGCGCUAUCAGAUGAGCCUAGGUCGGAUUAGCUAGUUGGUGAGGUAAUGGCUCACCAAGGCUACGAUCCGUAACUGGUCUGAGAGGAUGAUCAGUCACACUGGAACUGAGACACGGUCCAGACUCCUACGGGAGGCAGCAGUGGGGAAUAUUGGACAAUGGGCGAAAGCCUGAUCCAGCCAUGCCGCGUGUGUGAAGAAGGUCUUCGGAUUGUAAAGCACUUUAAGUUGGGAGGAAGGGCAUUAACCUAAUACGUUAGUGUUUUGACGUUACCGACAGAAUAAGCACCGGCUAACUCUGUGCCAGCAGCCGCGGUAAUACAGAGGGUGCAAGCGUUAAUCGGAAUUACUGGGCGUAAAGCGCGCGUAGGUGGUUUGUUAAGUUGAAUGUGAAAUCCCCGGGCUCAACCUGGGAACUGCAUCCAAAACUGGCAAGCUAGAGUAUGGUAGAGGGUAGUGGAAUUUCCUGUGUAGCGGUGAAAUGCGUAGAUAUAGGAAGGAACACCAGUGGCGAAGGCGACUACCUGGACUGAUACUGACACUGAGGUGCGAAAGCGGGGGGAGCAAACAGGAUUAGAUACCCUGGUAGUCCACGCCGUAAACGAUGUCAACUAGCCGUUGGGAGUCUUGAACUCUUAGUGGCGCAGCUAACGCAUUAAGUUGACCGCCUGGGGAGUACGGCCGCAAGGUUAAAACUCAAAUGAAUUGACGGGGGCCCGCACAAGCGGUGGAGCAUGUGGUUUAAUUCGAAGCAACGCGAAGAACCUUACCAGGCCUUGACAUCCAAUGAGCUUUCUAGAGAUAGAUUGGUGCCUUCGGGAACAUUGAGACAGGUGCUGCACGGCUGUCGUCAGCUCGUGUCGUGAGAUUUUGGGUUAAGUCCCGUAACGAGCGCAACCCUUGUCCUUAGUUACCAGCACGUAAUGGUGGGCACUCUAAGGAGACUGCCGGUGACAAACCGGAGGAAGGUGGGGAUGACGUCAAGUCAUCAUGGCCCUUACGGCCUGGGCUACACACGUGCUACAAUGGUCGGUACAAAGGGUUGCCAAGCCGCGAGGUGGAGCUAAUCCCAUAAAACCGAUCGUAGUCCGGAUCGCAGUCUGCAACUCGACUGCGUGAAGUCUGAAUCGCUAGUAAUCGUGAAUCAGAAUGUCACGGUGAAUACGUUCCCGGGCCUUGUACACACCGCCCGUCACACCAUGGGAGUGGGUUGCACCAGAAGUAGCUAGUCUAACCUUCGGGAGGACGGUUACCACGGUGUGAUUCAUGACUGGGGUGAAGUCGUAACAAGGUA